ACUGCUCAGUAACACGUAGUCAACCUAACUCGUGGACGUGGAUAACCUCGGGAAACUGAGGAUAAACCGCGAUAGGCCAAGAUUUCUGGAAUGAAUCAUGGUUUAAAUCUAUAUGGCCCCUGGAUUGGACUGCGGCCGAUCAGGCUGUUGGUGAGGUAAUGGCCCACCAAACCUGUAACCGGUACGGGCUCUGAGAGGAGGAGCCCGGAGAUGGGCACUUAGACAAGGGCCCAGGCCCUAUGGGGCGCAGCAGGCGCGAAACCUCUGCAAUAAGCGAAAGCUUGACAGGGUUACUCUGGGUGAUUUCCGCUAAGGAAGUCUUUUGGCACCUCUAAGAAUGGUGCAGAAUAAGGGGUGGGCAAGUCUGGUGUCAGCCGCCGCGGUAAUACCAGCACCCCGAGUGGUCGGGACGAUUAUUGGGCCUAAAGCAUCCGUAGCCGGUCCUGCAAGUCCUCCGUUAAAUCCACCCGCUCAACGGUUGGGCCGCGGGGGAUACUACAGGGCUAGGAGGCCAGUGGCGAAGGCGGCUUGCCAGAACGCGCUCGACGGUGAGGGAUGAAAGCUGGGGGAGCAAACCGGAUUAGAUACCCGGGUAGUCCCAGCUGUAAACGAUGCAGACUCGGUGAUGGGCUGGCUUCGUGCCAACCCGGUGCCGCAGGGAAGCCGUUAAGUCUGCCGCCUGGGGAGUACGGUCGCAAGACUGAAACUUAAAGGAAUUGGGAGAGGCAAGCGGUACUCGAUGGGUAGGGGUAAAAUCCACUGAUCCAUUGAAGACCACGGCGGGGGAGCAC
RNAcentral lists this ribosomal RNA (791 nucleotides) under uncultured crenarchaeote. Its description in RNAcentral is "bacterial SSU rRNA". It matches the Rfam family "Archaeal small subunit ribosomal RNA", at positions 85 to 941 of the family's 1478-position model. The record is from RNAcentral. Lineage: Archaea; Thermoproteati; Thermoproteota.